Molecule: long non-coding RNA, 976 nt
Organism: Cyprinodon variegatus (sheepshead minnow)
Lineage: Eukaryota; Metazoa; Chordata; Actinopteri; Cyprinodontiformes; Cyprinodontidae
Exons: 4
Source: RefSeq, a predicted model, not a curated record
GUGUUCUAUUCAUUGCUUUGGCUGUGGGAUUAUUCACUGUGAUAAUAAUCGCUGUGGCGAUCGUCGGCUGGAGAGUGAAACGAAAGAAAACACUGAGAGAUGAAAACACUGUUAAUGUGAAUGCAGGGGAUGUUUUCUACUCCACCAUCAGACACCGUGAGAACAGUGAUGAAAUUUUGGUUCACGGCGAUCUUGAAACGGUGACCUACAGCACUGUGAGAAAUCAUUGUUAAUCUGCUGCAGCAUCUGAUAAACCUCUAAUCUCUUUGACAAAGGCAAGAUGUAGCCACAGCAAGAACUGGCAGGACAGUCGGGCUCUAUUAAGUAGCUGUCUCAAGCGGUGCAAUCACAUUUUCUAAUGGUGCUAUAGUAAUGUCAGCAGAUGGCACCGGGUCUUUAUCUGUGCACUUAUCACACUUUUUCCUGGAAUACAGAGAAUUGUUACAAGACUGGAUGCUGGUAUACAUAACCUUAUUUUAUCAAGAUAUUUUUUUUAAACAUAUAACUUAGCUAUGCACCUUCUAAGCUCUGUAGAAAAUGUGUUGCAACAUUACUGAUUCGUCAAAGCUGCAUAUAAGCUUAAAAUGUUCACUAGGGCUAUGGUAAAUUUUGGUCUAAAACUGUCAGAAUGCUGCCCUCUAGGGGUUGGAGAUUGACCACUGUGGCUGAAUUGUGCUCUUCGGUUGGAUGCCAGCCGUAAAAAAUGGUCAAUGUCUACAUCACAGCCCAGGUUUCAGUAUAAAAUUAUUUCAUUUUAAUUACACAACCUUAGCCUGCUGGGGUACAGGAAAAAAAAAUCUACGGUGAAUCUAGCAGCAUUUAUUUGCUUACUCUUCAAGUUAAUUCAAGCUUCUGUUUCCUGCUUUAGCUUUACAAUAAACUGAGUUGAUGCGACCCAUCAAUGUGUUAACUACGUAUAUUUCUCUGUCCAUUGGCGGUUGAAACCCCCAGAGCUCUGCUGCUGCUAUUCACCACA